This is a long non-coding RNA of Topomyia yanbarensis, 581 nucleotides long. RefSeq lists it as uncharacterized. The transcript has 3 exons. The record is from RefSeq and is a predicted model, not a curated record. NCBI's taxonomy places the organism in Eukaryota, Metazoa, Arthropoda, Insecta, Diptera, Culicidae.
CACCGAUUCAGAGCAUGAAAAAUAUGAAGCUCAUAAAAUAUCUCCUUCGCGGCAGGGAGGCCGUGUAGUGUAACUCGCCCUGUCAUUGUGUGUGCGAUUUUUUGCCCUAAGUAUACUAUUGGGGACAGAGGAGAUCGGUAUGGGAUGGAAAUACAACGUACGAAACUAUUGAAAGGGUGCCAGUACAGAGGAGCCACAUGAGAGAGACAAGAGCAUCCCUGGGUUCACAAUCGACAACACAAAUAGCUUACACCUGAAACAGAAAGAGACUGCACCAUACGAGUGGAUUACACAGCGGAAACUCCAACUCUCCACAUAGAAGAAUGUAUCUACUUAGUAAGCUGUGUACUGCGGUAUUUGAUCGUUACAAGGGAAAACACACCAAAAUCAUAAAGUUUGUUCGAGAACUCCGUGGAAAAAUAACAAAUCUGUUUGUCCCAUUGUUGAAAUUCUACGCAAAACUGUCCCACUAACAAAAUAUAUAAAAAAGAAUAAAAAUCAUCAACUAUUAACUUUUAUUCAUAUCUUUGGCUUUAUUUGGUCUAUAAACAAUCCGUGAGAUCUAGAAAAAAUAGAUAUUU